Molecule: ribosomal RNA, 253 nt
Filed under: uncultured bacterium
Lineage: Bacteria
Description: partial 16S ribosomal RNA
Rfam family: Bacterial small subunit ribosomal RNA
Source: RNAcentral
UACGUAGGGUGCAAGCGUUAAUCGGAAUUACUGGGCGUAAAGCGUGCGCAGGCGGCUUUGCAAGCCAGAUGUGAAAUCCCCGGGCUUAACCUGGGAACUGCAUUUGUGACUGCAUGGCUAGAGUGCGGCGGAGGGGGAUGGAAUUCCGCGUGUAGCAGUGAAAUGCGUAGAUAUGCGGAGGAACACCGAUGGCGAAGGCAAUCCCCUGGGCCUGCACUGACGCUCAUGCACGAAAGCGUGGGGAGCAAACAGG